CAAUAGCGUAUAUUAAAGUUGUUGCAGUUAAAAAGCUCGUAGUUGAAUUUUUGCUUGCCGCCGAUGUCGGAACUUCCGUACGUUCGGCGGCGUGCAUCCUUGGGUGGAACCUGUGUGGCAUUAGGUUGUCGUGCAGGGGAUGCUCAUCGUUUACUGUGAAAAAAUUAGAGUGCUCAAAGCAGGCUUACGCCGUUGAAUAUAUUAGCAUGGAAUAAUAAGAUAGGACCUUGGUACUAUUUUGUUGGUUUGCGCACCGAGGUAAUGAUUAACAGGGACAGUUGGGGGUAUUCGUAUUCCAUUGUCAGAGGUGAAAUUCUUGGAUUUCUGGAAGACGAACUACUGCGAAAGCAUUUACCAAGGAUGGUUUCAUUAA
This 373-nucleotide ribosomal RNA is filed under the name uncultured eukaryote. Its description in RNAcentral is "partial 18S ribosomal RNA". It matches the Rfam family "Eukaryotic small subunit ribosomal RNA", at positions 592 to 976 of the family's 1831-position model. The record is from RNAcentral.